UACGUUGAAAGCAACUCAGUCAACACCGCGAGCUGAUGUUAAACUACAAAAUAUGGGGCCAGGUUAUGUGCCGUGUGCAUUUCAUCCAAACGAGGUGGCUGGAAAGGAACGCCCCUGGCACAUGUCCCCCAGGGUGCCCGUGGUGGCAGCGGCCAGCAUCCGCUCCCGGCUCACAAAGCGCAAAUGCCAACCUUCCUAUCAUGGAGUGGGCGCCCCUACCUUGGGCACCUGGGGAGACCUGCUGCAGGUGCAGCUAUGAUGUCUGUCUAUACCCGCAGGCCUGGGGACCAGUUCCCUGAGCCCAAGCCACCUUGUGCCCCCUCCUAGGCCUGCACAGAGCUGCCUGCGCAGCGCUUCACUCAGCUAGGGCCCAUAGCCCCUGGAGGCGUCACAAUGGCAGGAGCAGAGUGAGAGGUCAAAACGGCCCUGACCUGUGGAUGACCUCUGCGGUAGGAAGGCCAUCCUGCUGGCAGUAUGCAAAGAAACAGCAAUAGUGGCGACCACCACCGUCCAGGCCCCAGAGAGCACGAGCUCCUGUGCUGUCACGCGCCUCCCAGCACAGCUGUCUCAGCCUAGCCCCCCAGGGGUUCAGGGUAGGUGUUGUAUCCCUUCGACUGGGCAGCUGUCAGCUAAGGGAACUGUCGGAGGUAUGAAGGGAGGAAGAGGCGGCGCUGGGAUUCAGACCCAGGCCCAUCUGAUGUCAGAGCUCAGCCCUCUCUCCACCACGACAAGAGGCCUCCUCUCCACUCAUGGUGUGCAAUGUUCCGAUGAGAAUCACACAGAAUCCUAGGCAAACCUGGAGAAGGUGACCAUUCUGGUUACAUAAUGGGAGGGUUGGCUCCACCAUGGGAGCAGACGCCUUGUGCCCCAGGUGUCAGAACUCCGAGUUUCCUACAGCUUCAACACGGGGGUGCUUCUCUCUGCCUACUUGCCCCCUUCCCUGGAGAAGAGACACCCUUCAUUCCCCCAGAGCCACUGUUUUUCAACACCCGUUUUAAAGUGAGGCACCCUCUCUCUGGGAGAUUGCAAAAAUUAAAUCGUUUUUAAGCAACCAAACAACACUUCUGGGGUUUGUAAUAAACUUGUGAAAUUUGCGGAACUUGGCGGUUGAGGUUCCCUCUGUCCUGCUUCCCUGGGGCCCCGAGGAGCUUUGAGUUGGCUCCCCGUUCUCUCCAGUUUACCGUUGAUCUUGCCAACAGGGGCCAGGCCAUUGCAUGUUGGACCAAGGAGGCAAUGAGUUCUAAAACAAUCAAGGGGCUCUAGGAGGCCACGUCUGGUCUGAAUUUCUGGCUCUGCCUCCCCUCUGUUAUUGUGGGAAAGUCAUGCAAGCCAUAGGUGGGGGGUGGGGGCUUCCCUCUGCAGAGGCCAACCUGCUGUCUCUGCGGGGUUCCACCGUUGAGGGGGGCACACAGAUGGCAGCCAACUUCCCCUGUGUGACCAUGCUCUGUCCCCAUCAACCAAAUGACCCCAGGGAGCCCUGAAGGGUGGCACACACUUCAUUUUAUGACACUCUGCUUCCUCUCCCAUGCGGAGGCCCUCUCCAUUCAUGGAAAAUGGCAGCAAAGCGAUUUCCAUGCAUCAGCUCUUCCUGGGCCUUGUAUCUCCUGGUUGAAGCAGAGUGCACAAGGCUGGGUAUGUUUCUGGCUCCUCCAAACUCUCAGCUGGAAACUCAGCUCCGUGUGGUCAGGACUUGGACAGUGUCAAGGGCAGUAGGAUGAACAUAACUUUAUAACUAACCUUCCCGUGCUGUGUAAGGGCCUUUGACACAACAGAGGGAGCCCCCUCUCUCUGCAAGAGGACUUACGGGGAGCAAGGAGCCAAGAAGGUAAUGCCCUUAUGUGUAUCUCUUCAGAGAAAACCCCCUGGAGUCUGGGCCAGAGGGCUGGGUGCUGGCCCUAUCUGGACCCUUUACCAGCCAUGGGUGUUGUACUUUCUCAUCAUUUAUACAGUGGGGAGACUAACGGCACCUGCCUCGUGGAGCUGUCAGGAAGAUUAGAAGCACAGGCGCUUAAAGCAGUGGCUGGCACAUGCUAACUGCAGCGGGGAGAGGACACACCAAGCUAUUCCUUGUGUGUCCCACGUGCUGCCUUGGUGACUGAUCCCAGGUGCUCAGAACUGCCCGUGCUGUGCUUGGACACCCCACGAGCCCGCACUGUGCUAACCCGAGGAGUGUGCGUUUCUCCAUCAGCUUGUCCAGGACUGCAUGACGCCACCAGCCAUCUCACCUCUCCCGGAGCUGCUGGUUAAGACUCCAGGGAUGUUUUUCAUCAAUGAAGACUUUAGGUUCUCUUAGGAUUGGGAGGCAGCUGGCCUUCGUGGCCUGCAGCAUUCGGGCUGCUCCUGUGGCGGACACAGCUCCAGUGGGUUCGGGAUUCUUCCCACGUUCCUGGACCACCACCAGUGCUCAAGGCUGGGCUUCUGCCUCCCACACGAUUCCUUCGCUUUCAGACAACCAUCAGUAGCAACACAAGCGUAAACGCAAAGUGGAUGGUCCCGUGAAUCCACCACCCUCCAGAUCACUCCCUCUGGUGAUAUCAGACGCUGAUGUUCUGGAAAGACUUCCAUCCACACGGGGGACGCCAAGGUCUCCCUCUGGGGGCUCAUCAUCCUCAGAAACUCAUCCUUCCCUGGGACUCCUUCCUUUCCCCAAACAAGAUCUGAACCAGCCUGGAGAAAAAGAUGUGCCCGUGAGCCUCAUGAUUGGAAGGGCCUUUGUCACGCGGAGUUCUAAGCUCGGUGGCCAAUACUAUUCCAUGCCCUGGGGUUACAGCCGUCUGACCUCUCGCUGCCCUAAUUAUACUCUAGAAGAACGACAGCUCCUUCUAGACAUCCAGCCACUAAACAAUCAGAUAAUGCUUUUCUGCUACUGGUACCUAGGAUUGAAUGCAAGAGGUUUGGAACUUUCCAGAAAAGAAUAUUGUUGUGUAUCACAGAGAGGGUACAAGAGGAAGCUCUCGGAUCGGACAGACUCAGGUGUCUCCAAACCUAGAGGAAUCUGCGGAUCUGUGAAGGGGUUUUUGUGGUGUUCAUGACUCUCCUGCUGUCAGAUUUGCAGAAGAUAAAACAGAAAAAGGAAAGCGACUCCUCCCUUAUAUUAAAAAUAAAUAAGAUUUUAAAUUUCUAUUUAA
Long non-coding RNA from Canis lupus familiaris (dog), 3128 nucleotides. RefSeq lists it as uncharacterized. The record is from RefSeq and is a predicted model, not a curated record. The transcript has 5 exons. NCBI's taxonomy places the organism in Eukaryota, Metazoa, Chordata, Mammalia, Carnivora, Canidae.